This 702-nucleotide ribosomal RNA is filed under the name uncultured bacterium. RNAcentral's name for it is "bacterial SSU rRNA". It matches the Rfam family "Bacterial small subunit ribosomal RNA", at positions 87 to 824 of the family's 1533-position model. The record is from RNAcentral.
CGGGUCUAGUGGCGCACGGGUGCGUAACGCGUGGGAAUCUGCCCUUGGGUUCGGAAUAACUUCGGGAAACUGAAGCUAAUACCGGAUGAUGACGUAAGUCCAAAGAUUUAUCGCCCAAGGANNNNCCCGCGUAGGAUUAGCUAGUUGGUGAGGUAAAGGCUCACCAAGGCGACGAUCCUUAGCUGGUCUGAGAGGAUGAUCAGCCACACUGGGACUGAGACACGGCCCAGACUCCUACGGGAGGCAGCAGUGGGGAAUAUUGGACAAUGGGCGAAAGCCUGAUCCAGCAAUGCCGCGUGAGUGAUGAAGGCCUUAGGGUUGUAAAGCUCUUUUACCCGGGAUGAUAAUGACAGUACCGGGAGAAUAAGCUCCGGCUAACUCCGUGCCAGCAGCCGCGGUAAUACGGAGGGAGCUAGCGUUGUUCGGAAUUACUGGGCGUAAAGCGCACGUAGGCGGCUUUGUAAGUUAGAGGUGAAAGCCUGGAGCUCAACUCCAGAAUUGCCUUUGAUACUGCAUCGCUUGAAUCCAGGAGAGGUGAGUGGAAUUCCGAGUGUAGAGGUGAAAUUCGUAGAUAUUCGGAAGAACACCAGUGGCGAAGGCGGCUCACUGGACUGGUAUUGACGCUGAGGUGCGAAAGCGUAGGGAGCAAACAGGAUUAGAUACCCUGGUAGUCCACGCCGUANACGAUGAUAACUAGCUGUC